GUGAGGAGUUAGCUUAGCAGCUAAAACACGCAGCUCUACAGAAAAGUGGCUUUAGGACUCGAACACAGAAAAACCCCAACAAAAGCCGCUAAUGUUGAUCAGAAGUUCAGCCCCCGGCUCAGCAGGACAUCUGGUCCUGCAGGCGAAGGUGGAUCGUGAGACUGUAGGACAGAAAGUGGUGAAACUGACCUGUAGCCCCCCCUGCAGGCCCAGUGGAAACUAUUACUACGACUGGUUCAGAGAUAAAGGACAGUUCAGCAGUAGAGAAUACGUAGGAUGUUCAUAUAGCGCCUCACUCUGGUUGGACUCCACCAGAUCAUCUGAUCAGGGCAGCUACACCUGUGAGGUGAAGGACUACAGCCUCCCUCAGGAAAACUGUGAGUGUCAGUCAGUAAAUAAAGUAAUUUAAAAAAUAAAGUAAGAAAUUCAGAACCAGGAAAUGACCUGCAUUCAGUUUCGAUUUGAGAUGUAAAAAACUUCACUUUCAAAAUAAGAGCUCUUUUAUUGUACAGUCUCUAUACAUUAUAGAAAUGUUUAAAAUAUGCUAAAUGUAUCAUUUGUGCUCAGUGGAAUUAAACGUAUCAUGUCUGGACUCCAGAAAGUCUCAUGUACAGUUCUGUGUAAAAGAGUAAAAGCAGAAUUUUAGGAAGGAAUAGAUCAGUAACCAGGCUUCCGGCUCACUGUGGGGCUUUAAGAGGAGCGUCGCUUCGCUGUCGGUGAUCUGCAGGACAGCCGUCCUCCAGUCGAUCAGAGCAGCCGGGGGCCGAUCAGAGCUGAUUCUAGUCAUAACUAAAGUUCUAGUUUAGUUCAGUUUGUUUGCUGUUCAUGAUUGUGAUUCACUCACAUGACGUCAUUGAUUAGGGGGUGUGGCCGUUUCAGGACACCAGUUCGUUAACGACAGAUUUGAGUCUCGUACCUCGCUCUCUCUUUCUUUCUGUCUCUCGCUCUCUCUCUCGCUCUCUCUGUCUGGCUCGCGCUGGCGCUCUCUCUCUCUCGCUCUCUCUCUCUCUCUCUCUCUCUCGCUCUCUCUCUCUCUCUCUCUCUCUCUCUCUCUCUCUCUCUCUCUCUCUCGCUCUCUCUCUCUCUCUCUCUCUCUCUCUCUCUCUCUCGCUCUCUCUCUCUCUGUCUGUCUGUCUGUGUGUCUGUCUCUCUCUGUCUCGCUCUCUCUUUCGCUCGCUCU
Molecule: long non-coding RNA, 1180 nt
Organism: Pygocentrus nattereri (red-bellied piranha)
Lineage: Eukaryota; Metazoa; Chordata; Actinopteri; Characiformes; Serrasalmidae
Source: Ensembl